UACGUAGGGGGCAAGCGUUGUCCGGAUUUAUUGGGCGUAAAGAGCGUGUAGGCGGUCAGGUAGGUCCGUUGUGAAAACUCGAGGCUCAACCUCGAGACGCCGAUGGAAACCAUCUGACUAGAGUCCGGAAGAGGAGAGUGGAAUUCCACGUGUAGCGGUGAAAUGCGUAGAGAUGUGGAGGAACACCAGUGGCGAAGGCGACUCUCUGGUCUGUAACUGACGCUGAGGAGCGAAAGCGUGGGGAGCAAACAGG
RNAcentral lists this ribosomal RNA (253 nucleotides) under uncultured bacterium. RNAcentral describes it as "partial 16S ribosomal RNA". It matches the Rfam family "Bacterial small subunit ribosomal RNA", at positions 524 to 776 of the family's 1533-position model. The record is from RNAcentral.